CAAAAUUGUGGGGCGAAUUUAAAAAUAAAAAUAACAUUAAUUUUAAACUCAUAAAAAGAGGAGGGGUCAAAUGUGCAAUUAGCCCCUCCAUAGAAAACGCGUGGAUCCCCUAGGUCGAGUCGGGUCACGUACACAGGCUAAGCUAAAACGGCGUCGUUUAGGCGCCCAUGUUUUGGCCCAAAACAGCGCCGUAUAGGAGGAUCUAUAAAUACCAAAAAAAAAAAAUUUAAAACUUUCAUUUUCCUUCCCUUUCCCACAAAAAUAGAAACCCCCUUUCCCUUUUUCUCUCCAGGCCUGAAGUCUGGCCAGGUUCCAGUGCCGUCCGCCACUGUUCGCCGCCGGCCGCCGACGCCAGCGCCGCUGUGAAGGUAAGAUUGUUUUUUUAUUUUAUUUUAUGUAUUUGUGUGUAUAUAUAUAAUUUUAAGGAAAAUAAAAUUAAUAAAUAAAAAAAACUAAAACAGUAACCUACAUUUUUCUUCUUUUCUGUUCUGCUACUUUGAUUCUUGAUUUGCAAUUGAAAUUGCUGUUAUCUUAUUGAUUUUUUUAGUAUAAAAAAAUGUCCCCUUACAAUAUAUUUUCAAAGGCUUUUAUAACCCUUUUACAAUUGAUUCUUGCCUAGGUGGGCACUGAGGUGGGGGCGUGAGUAAUGCGUCGCACGGCGCGAAGGGCAUGCGGCUCUGGGGUGGCUUGCGGCGCGAGGGCAAAGGCUAGGGUUUCUUUGGCUGAAAUUGUUUAAGUUUUUUUUUAGGGGCCAUAGGAUUGGCUUAGGGUUUUGGGUUAGUUUGGGGUUUGUAUUGGGUUUGGGUUUACGGUCUCCGAGCUAAAUUGGGCCUUACAUACUUUAUGUCAUAUUUGAAUGGGUAAGAACUUAUUACAAUAUAAAAAAACUACUGAAACAAUCUAGCCUAUGAAUUAACUAAUUACAUUAAAGUCUAUGCACGACAAUAGUUCAUGAUGAGACUCAAAGGCUCAUACAUUUAAUUGCGACGAUGAAUCUUGAGUUUAGAUAUUUAGAACCCAUAAACUCCAUGUUUUCAACUACACCAAAGCUUCAUGAUUUAUAAAAAUUAGAUGAUAACUUGUGAAGGCUUGACUGUAUGAUGUUCGAAAUAAAACAAAUUGAGG
This 1125-nucleotide long non-coding RNA is filed under the name Gossypium barbadense (sea-island cotton). RNAcentral describes it as "long non-coding RNA (GBAR_LNC010865)". The record is from RNAcentral. Lineage: Eukaryota; Viridiplantae; Streptophyta; Magnoliopsida; Malvales; Malvaceae.